Molecule: non-coding RNA, 32 nt
Filed under: Mus musculus (house mouse)
Lineage: Eukaryota; Metazoa; Chordata; Mammalia; Rodentia; Muridae
Source: RNAcentral
UUGAAUCUUUUAGCCUUACAAUUUCUUUGGAA